Molecule: ribosomal RNA, 73 nt
Filed under: Halomonas sp.
Lineage: Bacteria; Pseudomonadati; Pseudomonadota; Gammaproteobacteria; Oceanospirillales; Halomonadaceae
Description: partial 16S ribosomal RNA
Rfam family: Bacterial small subunit ribosomal RNA
Source: RNAcentral
CUUAAACUGAAGAGUUUGAUCAUGGCUCAGAUUGAACGCUGGCGGCAGGCCUAACACAUGCAAGUCGAGCGGU